Molecule: unclassified non-coding RNA, 1357 nt
Filed under: Centruroides sculpturatus (bark scorpion)
Lineage: Eukaryota; Metazoa; Arthropoda; Arachnida; Scorpiones; Buthidae
Description: dNA/RNA-binding protein KIN17-like, transcript variant X2
Source: RNAcentral
CAUUUUUUAAAAAAUUAAUAUCUGGCAACACUUAAGUACGGAUCUAAAAACCUGGAAGUGGGUAUUUACUUCUUAUCUUCGAAGUCUUUUCAAAAUGCCAAAACACGAGCCUCUGACACCUAAAGCCAUUGCCAAUCGAAUCAAAGCUAAAGGUCUACAAAAAUUGCGAUGGUACUGCCAGAUGUGUCAAAAACAAUGCAGAGAUGAGAACGGCUUUAAAUGUCAUACAACUUCAGAAUCUCAUCAGCGACAGUUACUACUAUUUGCUGAAAAUCCUUAUAAAUACAUAGACAGAUUUUCAAAAGAGUUUUUAGACACAUUUAUUGAAUUACUCAGUAGAAGAUUUGGUACUAAAAGAGUACAUGCAAAUCAGGUAUAUCAGGAAUAUAUUUCAGACCGACAUCAUCUUCACAUGAAUGCUACAAGAUGGGAAACAUUAACAGAUUUUGUUAAAUGGCUAGGAAGAGAAGGACAUUGCGUAGUUGAUUAUACUGAUAAAGGAUGGUUUAUUAGCUACAUAGAUCGAGAUCCUGAAACAAUAAGAAGACAAGAAGCUUUAGCAAAAAAAGAAAAAAUGAAUUUAGAUGAUGAAGAGAGGAUAGCAAAAUUUAUAGAAAAGCAGAUAGAGAGAGAUAAAGGGAGCACGAAAGAUGAUGAUGAUGAUGCUAGUUAUUCUGAGCUAAAGAGAGAUAGCGAAGGAGAGAAAGUGGCAUUUUCAUUAACUGAAAAAAUUAAAGAAAAGACAAUACCCAAGGCAAAACCGCUUAGUAAGUUAAUAUCAAAACCAUCGUCAUCUAAUAAUAAUAAUGAUGAACAAAACAAACAGAGUAAUGAGGCAAAAAAGCGAAAGAAUGUCUUGGAUGAAAUUAUUGAAGAACAAGAAAAAAGAAAAGAAAAAAUUAAUAGAAAAGAUCACUGGCUUGCACCAGGAAUUAUUGUAAAAGUGAUAACAAAGAAAAUGUCAGAUAAAUACUACAAAAAGAAAGGUGUCAUAACAGACAUAAAAAAUCAAUAUGUGGGUAUAGUUAAAAUGUUAGAUGGAGGAGAUGUUUUAAAAUUGGAUCAAGUGCACUUAGAAACUGUAAUUCCAGCAUUUGGAAAACAAGUUUUAAUACUGAACGGAGCAUACAGAGGAUGCGAAGGAAUACUUCAGAGUAUUCAGCAAGAUAAAUUUUGUGCUACUAUAAAAAUUUCAUCCGGACCCUCGAGAGGCAGAGUCGUUGAAGGAAUUGCAUACGAAGACUUUUCGAAGUUACAUACUUCAUAACAUUUACUUUUACGUACGUAGGAAUAUUGUAAAUACGACAUUAGGGAAGAACGAAUUCCAAAUUAUUAUGUGAUGUAGUCCAUGAAACUG